AGGUGCUGCAUGGCUGUCGUCAGCUCGUGUUGUGAAAUGUUGGGUUAAGUCCCGCAACGAGCGCAACCCUUAUCCUUUGUUGCCAGCGGUCCGGCCGGGAACUCAAAGGAGACUGCCAGUGAUAAACUGGAGGAAGGUGGGGAUGACGUCAAGUCAUCAUGGCCCUUACGACCAGGGCUACACACGUGCUACAAUGGCGCAUACAAAGAGAAGCAAACUCGCGAGAGCAAGCGGACCUCAUAAAGUGCGUCGUAGUCCGGAUUGGAGUCUGCAACUCGACUCCAUGAAGUCGGAAUCGCUAGUAAUCGUGAAUCAGAAUGUCAC
Molecule: ribosomal RNA, 324 nt
Filed under: uncultured Gammaproteobacteria bacterium
Lineage: Bacteria; Pseudomonadati; Pseudomonadota; Gammaproteobacteria
Description: bacterial SSU rRNA
Rfam family: Bacterial small subunit ribosomal RNA
Source: RNAcentral